CCUACGGGGCGCACCAGGCGCGAAACCUUCGCAAUGUGCGAAAGCACGACGAGGUUAUUCCGAGUGAUUUCCGCUGAGGAAAUCUUUUCUCAGAUCUAAAAAGUCUGGGGAAUAAGGGGAGGGCAAGUCUGGUGUCAGCCGCCGCGGUAAUACCAGCUCCUCGAGUGGUCAGGGCGUUUAUUGGGCCUAAAGCAUCCGUAGCCGGCUCAGUUGGUCUCCUGUUAAAUCCAGCGGCUCAACCGUUGGUCUGCAGGAGAUACCGCUGGGCUAGGAGGCGGGAGAGGCGGACGGUACUCCGAGGGUAGGGGUAAAAUCCUUUGAUCCCCGGAAGACCACCAGUGGCGAAGGCGGUCCGCCAGAACGCGCUCGACGGUGAGGGAUGAAAGCUGGGGGAGCGAACCGGAUUAGAUACCCGGGUAGUCCCAGCCGUAAACGAUGCGAGCUAGGUGACACAACGCCUUCGGGGCGUUGUGGUGCCGCAGGGAAGCCGUUAAGCUCGCCGCCUGGGGAGUACGGACGCAAGUCUGAAACUUAAAGGAAUUGGCGGGGGAGCACCACAAGGGGUGAAGCCUGCGGUUCAAUUGGAGUCAACGCCGGGAAUCUUACCGGGAGCGACAGCAGAUUGAAGGUCAAGCUGAAGACUUUACCAGACGAGCUGAGAGGAGGUGCAUGGGCCGUCGCCAGCUCGUGCCGUGAGGCGUCCUGUUAAGUCAGGCAACGAGCGAGACCCCUACUUCUAAUUGCUUUAACAGACAUCGCAAGGUGUUUGUGGCCUAGG
RNAcentral lists this ribosomal RNA (778 nucleotides) under uncultured Thermoprotei archaeon. RNAcentral describes it as "bacterial SSU rRNA". It matches the Rfam family "Archaeal small subunit ribosomal RNA", at positions 322 to 1100 of the family's 1478-position model. Lineage: Archaea; Thermoproteati; Thermoproteota; Thermoprotei. The record is from RNAcentral.